CACGCGGAUGGACAGACUGAUAGACAUCGACACACGGACACGCGGGGAGAUGGAUGGAUGGAUGGAUAGCCAGACAGAUGCACAGACUAAUCAUCGGAUGGACGGACGGAUAGCGACAGGCAGACAGACGUCGACAUGGGUGGAUACGUCGAUAGAUGGACGGACAGACCGACGUGCGGAUGGAUGGGCACCUAGCGUCAGAGGAAGCGCGCUUCAACUUGUCCUGCAUCUGUCUUAUCAACUUCGGUCGGUCUCCACCUGUGGAUCUCAGGCAGGUGCCACAGCAACCUAGGGCGCCUCGAGAGCCUUUCAUGGGAGCUGCAGGGUGGCACGGUUAGGAUGACAAGAUAAACCCAGAGAUUUCCCAUAGAAAUGCAUCACUGGGCUCUUUCUGAGUUCAUUGCAACAGAAAAAAAUAAAGAUCUAUUUUUUUUUUCUGUAGUCAGAAAAGAGUGAAAACUAAGAGCUGGCAUUUCAGAAGUGGGGCUUGAGUCUACCUAGGGGUGCCUCGAGUCUAAAGAAGGUCAAGAACCACUGGUCUAUCAGGUGGUUACGCACAUCUCUGUCUCUUACAAGAUCAACCCACAAUCCAUAGUGUUAAAACUAUUCAGCCCUGCGGUAUUCGGUCUUGCCGAGUUCUUUGCAACAGAAGAAUUGCUCUAGGAUUUCUCUGUAGUCAAAAAACAAGGGGAAACUUCUUAGCUGGCACUUGUUGGGGGGGCCCCUUGAGUCUAACAAGGGCGAGAACCGCCGUGCUAGUCGGCAAGAAAGAGGCUGCUCCCCAGGACCUUGCAAUCAACAGGCAAGACAGAAGCAGGCUGUACUUCUACUUACGUACAGCCUGCACUCAGAUGUGGUGUGGUUGUCUAUCGCAUCUUCCACCAGCCAUAUUUGCCGGUGCUUGUGUUGCCCUAGAGAGAUGGCUUAUGGUCUGCAGUCACCAGCAAUACCUGUGGGAUUUCAGCCCUGAUUUCAUCCUUUUUUUGCAAUGGAGAAAACUUUGAAAGCUGGAACGCAAGUGUUGGGGGGCUUUCUCCCAAAGGAGCAAGCGCUGACUAGGACACAGGAUAUUUGAUGGAAAGAGGAAGAAAAGUUUGAUCCCCCCCACCCCCAACAAAAAAAAAACAGCAUCUGAAAUUUUCCAUGUUCAGGUUUCUCCCCUCCCUGGUUGAAAAACUUGUUGGGACAACUUGGAAACAAAGCUGUGGUUUUACAGGUGAAAAUAAAACAGGCCAGGCUCGGGACUGUCACCGGGCGCGCAUUGCCAAUCACUCAAAU
Long non-coding RNA from Alligator sinensis (Chinese alligator), 1278 nucleotides. RefSeq lists it as uncharacterized. The transcript has 3 exons. NCBI's taxonomy places the organism in Eukaryota, Metazoa, Chordata, Crocodylia, Alligatoridae. The record is from RefSeq and is a predicted model, not a curated record.